RNAcentral lists this ribosomal RNA (249 nucleotides) under uncultured Cyanobacterium sp. Its description in RNAcentral is "partial 16S ribosomal RNA". It matches the Rfam family "Bacterial small subunit ribosomal RNA", at positions 394 to 658 of the family's 1533-position model. Lineage: Bacteria; Bacillati; Cyanobacteriota; Cyanophyceae; Chroococcales; Geminocystaceae. The record is from RNAcentral.
ACGCCGCGUGAGGGAUGAAGGCCUCUGGGCUGUAAACCUCUUUUCUCAAGGAAGAAGAUCUGACGGUACUUGAGGAAUAAGCCACGGCUAAUUCCGUGCCAGCAGCCGCGGUAAUACGGGAGUGGCAAGCGUUAUCCGGAAUUAUUGGGCGUAAAGCGUCCGCAGGCGGCCUUGUAAGUCUGUCGUUAAAGCGUGGAGCUUAACUCCAUUUCAGCGGUGGAAACUACAAGGCUUGAUUGCGGUAGGGGC